CCUACGGGAGGCUGCAGUGGGGAAUUUUGGACAAUGGGGGCAACCCUGAUCCAGCCAUUCCGCGUGAGUGAAGAAGGCCUUCGGGUUGUAAAGCUCUUUUGUCCGGAGCGAAACGGGCGGCCCUAAUACGGUCGUCUACUGACGGUACCGGAAGAAUAAGCCCCGGCUAACUACGUGCCAGCAGCCGCGGUAAUACGUAGGGUGCGAGCGUUAGUCGGACGUGCGGGGCGUAAUGCGUACGCAAGAGGUGAAAUCCCCGGGCUCAACCUGGGAAUGGCAUUUGGGACUGCAAGGCUAGAGUGUGGCAGAGGGGACUAGAAUUCCUGGUGUAGCAGUGAAAUGCGUAGAUAUCAGGAGGAAUACCGAUGGCGAAGGCAGGUCCCUGGGUUUACACUGACGCUCAUGCACGAAAGCGUGGGGAGCAAACAGGAUUAGAUACCCGUGUAGUC
Molecule: ribosomal RNA, 449 nt
Filed under: uncultured bacterium
Lineage: Bacteria
Description: partial 16S ribosomal RNA
Rfam family: Bacterial small subunit ribosomal RNA
Source: RNAcentral